UUAAGUCCCGCAACGAGCGCAACCCCUACUGUCAGUUACUAACAGGUGAAGCUGAGGACUUUGGCGGAACUGCCGGUGACAAACCGGAGGAAGGUGGGGAUGACGUCAAGUCAUCAUGGCCCUUAUGUCCAGGGCUACACACGUGCUACAAUGGGUGAGACAGAGUGACGCGAAGCCGCGAGGUGGAGCAAAUCGCAGAAAAUCAUCCGUAGUUCGGAUUGGAGUCUGAAACCCGACUCCAUGAAGGUGGAAUCGCUAGUAAUCGCGCAUCAGCAUGGCGCGGUGAAUACGUUCCCGGGCCUU
RNAcentral lists this ribosomal RNA (303 nucleotides) under uncultured Spirochaetaceae bacterium. RNAcentral's name for it is "bacterial SSU rRNA". It matches the Rfam family "Bacterial small subunit ribosomal RNA", at positions 1080 to 1382 of the family's 1533-position model. Lineage: Bacteria; Pseudomonadati; Spirochaetota; Spirochaetia; Spirochaetales; Spirochaetaceae. The record is from RNAcentral.